This 2013-nucleotide long non-coding RNA is filed under the name Eucalyptus grandis. RNAcentral's name for it is "long non-coding RNA (EGRA_LNC001833)". The record is from RNAcentral. Lineage: Eukaryota; Viridiplantae; Streptophyta; Magnoliopsida; Myrtales; Myrtaceae.
AGUUACAGACGAAGGCCUACAGCCAAAAGUCUACGAAAGAUCGACUCUUAAAAAUGAACUGUCCUACAACCUACAAGUCGGACGCGCUCUCCAAUCCUUAUGACUUCACCUCUGCAACUCCUCAAGGCCAACCAAAGCUAUCUAGCCGCUCCAUCCACCGGGGACCUGAAAUGGUUAUUCAAUAACCACUGAGACAACGUCUCAGCAAGUUCAACCCCCUAAACCCCUAUUAGAAAGAAAAUACACCCAAAGGUGGCCAAAUCACAUCACACAGAGAACUUACCUCACCUCAAUUCCUUCCUGCAGGUUAGCACAAUUUGUAUCACAUAAUCUCAAGUAGUAAUAAUAAUUCAAACAAUUGGAACGCCAUCACUUUCAUAUAAAUCACGAUCGCACUUAGCACGCAUUCCAAUUAUUAUUCACUGUCACACAAUGGCAUAGCCCACUCACAGGUCGACUAUCUAUUAACAUUACGACAUUUCGAGAAGAAUAAGCCACGUCAUUCUAUCGACGGCAUUUCUAGAAGAAUAAAGGUCCAGUUGGUCUCGCCACUACUGCGACCAAGCCACGUCGUUCUAUCGACAACAUUUCUAGAAGAAUAAAGGUCCAGUUGGUCUCGCCACUACUGCGACCAAGCCACGUCGUUCUAUCGACAGCACUUCUAGAAGAAUAAAGGUCCAGUCGGUCUCGCCACUACUGCGACCAAGCCACGUCGUUCUAUCGACAGCACUUCUAGAAGAAUAAAGGUCCAGUCGGUCUCGCCACUACUGCGACCAAGCCACGUCGUUCUAUCGACAGCACUUCUAGAAGAAUAAAGGUCCAGUCGGUCUCGCUACUACCGCGACCAAGCCACGUCGUUCUAUCGACAGCACUUCUAGAAGAAUAAAGGUCCAGUCGGUCUCGCCACUACUGCGACCAAGCCACGUCGUUCUAUUGACAGCAUUUCUAGAAGAAUAAAGGUCCAGUCGGUCCCGCCACUACUGCGACCCGAGCCUUUCAACUAGCACACGACCAUUCGAUACCGAUCCUUGUAUACUUUACAUUCCACUCACAUAAUCCAAUUACAAUAUUAGCCAUUAACAAUCCAAUUUCAAUGCCGAACUCGACACUUGCGAUUUUAUGAAUAAAAUCCAUAUUUAUCACAAUCAACAUUCAAUUUGCCACAAUCAAUCAUCAAAUUCAAAUUCUAAAUACACAGCAACGAUCGGCAUGAAAUUCUGAGAGUUUAGGGUCCCGACGAAAUUUUUGAAUUUUAAUAAAUAAUAAAUUUUAUUCCAAAAAUUAAUUAAAUAAUAAUAUCCAUAUUUUUCGCAAUCCACGCUCAAUUUAUAAUAUCCAACCAUCAAUUUCAAAAUCCGAAUACACAGCAGCGAUUGGCACGAAAUUCUGAGCAACCGGGGUCAAAAAUAAUUUUUUCGUUUUUUUUUAAUAAUAAUAUUUUAAUAAUUUCGGAUUAUAAAAUAAUAUUAUAUUUUCCAGAAUUUCGAAGCAUUUAAAUAAUUCAAAACUAAAAUCCUUUUAUGUCACAUCAAGGCUUAACUUUAAAUAAGUUCUUUUAACCUUUAAUUUAAACACACUUAACAUAAACCAACCUCUUAAUCCAAUUUAUAAUUAAAUACACUAAUCCACCCACAUAAACUUACUUAAUUCCAACUAAGCACACUUAGGGCAUCAUUAACACUCUAAUCAAGAUUUAGUGAGUUAAACUCACCGGAUUAGCGAGCCGAGCGAACCAAAACGACGAGGACGACGAGGGGAUCGGCUUUCUCCAAAGCGGGCCAAGCAUCCGGGGUCGGGAAGCCAACCAAAACGGCCCAACACUUGCUGCCAUACCCAUUUUCUGCAGCUACUGUCCACUGUUCGAUGAGGCCGAGAAUGGGCGGAUCCGGGGCUUGGAUGAGAUGGAAAAGGACCGAGGAAGGUUGAGGGGUCGAACCGGACCAAGGCGGGACCCGAACGGUGGCCGGAGGUGGCCGAAUGGCUUCGGCACGAGCUGUUGCAGCAGUUGCGACG